This 468-nucleotide ribosomal RNA is filed under the name uncultured bacterium. RNAcentral's name for it is "partial 16S ribosomal RNA". It matches the Rfam family "Bacterial small subunit ribosomal RNA", at positions 28 to 507 of the family's 1533-position model. The record is from RNAcentral.
GACGAACGCUGGCGGCGUGCUUAACACAUGCAAGUCGAACGGAAAGGCCCUGCUUUUGUGGGGUGCUCGAGUGGCGAACGGGUGAGUAACACGUGAGUAACCUGCCCUUGACUUUGGGAUAACUUCAGGAAACUGGGGCUAAUACCGGAUAGGAGCUCCUGCUGCAUGGUGGGGGUUGGAAAGUUUCGGCGGUUGGGGAUGGACUCGCGGCUUAUCAGCUUGUUGGUGGGGAAGUGGCUUACCAAGGCUUUGACGGGUAGCCGGCCUGAGAGGGUGACCGGCCACAUUGGGACUGGGAUACGGCCCAGACUCCUACGGGAGGCAGCAGUGGGGAUUAUUGCACAAUGGGCGGAGGCCUGAUGCAGCAACGCCGCGUGCGGGAUGACGGCCUUCGGGUUGUAAACCGCUUUCGCCUGUGACGAAGCGUGAGUGACGGUAAUGGGUAAAGAAGCACCGGCUAACUACGUG